CGUAGGUGCAAGCGUUGUCCGGAAUUAUUGGCGUAAGAGCUCGUAGGCGGUUGUCGCGUCUGCUGUGAAUCCCGAGGCUCAACCUCGGGUCUGCAGUGGGUACGGCAGACUAGAGUGCGGUAAGGAGAUUGGAAUUCCUGGUGUAGCCGGUGGAAUGCGCCAGAUAUCAGGAGGAACACCGAUGGCGAAGGCAGAUCUCUGGGCCGUAACUGACGCUGAGGAGCGAAAGCAUGGGAGCGAACAGGAUU
RNAcentral lists this ribosomal RNA (248 nucleotides) under uncultured bacterium. Its description in RNAcentral is "partial 16S ribosomal RNA". It matches the Rfam family "Bacterial small subunit ribosomal RNA", at positions 526 to 779 of the family's 1533-position model. The record is from RNAcentral.